AGGCGUGAUGACGAGGCACUACGGUGCUGAAGCAACAAAUGCCCUGCUUCCAGGAAAAGCCUCUAAGCAUCAGGUAACAUCAAAUCGUACCCCAAACCGACACAGGUGGUCAGGUAGAGAAUACCAAGGCGCUUGAGAGAACUCGGGUGAAGGAACUAGGCAAAAUGGUGCCGUAACUUCGGGAGAAGGCACGCUGAUAUGUAGGUGAAGCGACUUGCUCGUGGAGCUGAAAUCAGUCGAAGAUACCAGCUGGCUGCAACUGUUUAUUAAAAACACAGCACUGUGCAAACACGAAAGUGGACGUAUACGGUGUGACGCCUGCCCGGUGCCGGAAGGUUAAUUGAUGGGGUCAGCGCAAGCGAAGCUCUUGAUCGAAGCCCCGGUAAACGGCGGCCGUAACUAUAACGGUCCUAAGGUAGCGAAAUUCCUUGUCGGGUAAGUUCCGACCUGCACGAAUGGCGUAAUGAUGGCCAGGCUGUCUCCACCCGAGACUCAGUGAAAUUGAACUCGCUGUGAAGAUGCAGUGUACCCGCGGCAAGACGGAAAGACCCCGUGAACCUUUACUAUAGCUUGACACUGAACAUUGAGCCUUGAUGUGUAGGAUAGGUGGGAGGCUUUGAAGUGUGGACGCCAGUCUGCAUGGAGCCGGCCUUGAAAUACCACCCUUUAAUGUUUGAUGUUCUAACGUUGACCCGUGAUCCGGGUUGCGGACAGUGUCUGGUGGGUAGUUUGACUGGGGCGGUCUCCUCCUAAAGAGUAACGGAGGAGCACGAAGGUUGGCUAAUCCUGGUCGGACAUCAGGAGGUUAGUGCAAUGGCAUAAGCCAGCUUGACUGCGAGCGUGACGGCGCGAGCAGGUGCGAAAGCAGGUCAUAGUGAUCCGGUGGUUCUGAAUGGAAGGGCCAUCGCUCAACGGAUAAAAGGUACUCCGGGGAUAACAGGCUGAUACCGCCCAAGAGUUCAUAUCGACGGCGGUGUUUGGCACCUCGAUGUCGGCUCAUCACAUCCUGGGGCUGAAGUAGGUCCCAAGGGUAUGGCUGUUCGCCAUUUAAAGUGGUACGCGAGCUGGGUUUAGAACGUCGUGAGACAGUUCGGUCCCUAUCUGCCGUGGGCGCUGGAGAACUGAGGGGGGCUGCUCCUAGUACGAGAGGACCGGAGUGGACGCAUCACUGGUGUUCGGGUUGUCAUGCCAAUGGCACUGCCCGGUAGCUAAAUGCGGAAGAGAUAAGUGCUGAAAGCAUCUAAGCACGAAACUUGCCCCGAGAUGAGUUCUCCCUGACUCCUUGAGAGUCCUGAAGGAACGUUGAAGACGACGACGUUGAUAGGCCGGGUGUGUAAGCGCAGCGAUGCGUUGAGCUAACCGGUACUAAUG
RNAcentral lists this ribosomal RNA (1371 nucleotides) under Escherichia coli. RNAcentral's name for it is "partial 23S ribosomal RNA". It matches the Rfam family "Bacterial large subunit ribosomal RNA", at positions 1559 to 2906 of the family's 2925-position model. The record is from RNAcentral. Lineage: Bacteria; Pseudomonadati; Pseudomonadota; Gammaproteobacteria; Enterobacterales; Enterobacteriaceae.